GUAGGUGGCAAGCGUUGUCCGGAAUUAUUGGGCGUAAAGCGCGCGCAGGCGGUCCUUUAAGUCUGAUGUGAAAGCCCACGGCUCAACCGUGAAGGGUCAUUGGAAACUGGGGGACUUGAGUACAGAAGAGGAAAGCGGAAUUCCAAGUGUAGCGGUGAAAUGCGUAGAGAUUUGGAGGAACACCAGUGGCGAAGGCGGCUUUCUGGUCUGUAACUGACGCUGAGGCGCGAAAGCGUGGGGAGCAAACAGGGAUUAGAUACCCUGGUAGUCCACGCCGUAAACGAUGAGUGCUAAGUGUUAGGGGGUUUCCGCCCCCUUAGUGCUGCAGCUAACGCAUUAAGCACUCCGCCUGGGGAGUACGGCCGCAAGGCUG
RNAcentral lists this ribosomal RNA (373 nucleotides) under uncultured organism. RNAcentral's name for it is "partial 16S ribosomal RNA". It matches the Rfam family "Bacterial small subunit ribosomal RNA", at positions 527 to 896 of the family's 1533-position model. The record is from RNAcentral.